This 383-nucleotide unclassified non-coding RNA is filed under the name Hevea brasiliensis (rubber tree). Lineage: Eukaryota; Viridiplantae; Streptophyta; Magnoliopsida; Malpighiales; Euphorbiaceae. The record is from RNAcentral.
CACUACACUAAAACGUCUACCUAACACGCCGCAGCCCAUAUUGCCACCGCUGCUCCGCAGCCUCUGGUAUACUUUCCUCGCCUUCUCUUUUCACCGUCAGCGACAGCGAAGUUCCAGGCUUCCAGGAUCAGGAGGAUGGAAGAAAAGCUCGUGAGACCAAGAAACGAUGGCGUUUUGGAUGGGAACGGCGACGAUGAUGACCUGCCUAUGCUGAGCUCUCAAGCUCUAGCGGCUCUUAGAGAGUUCAUCGAAGAACAGAACCAGUUAAAUGUUGAUGAACGCAGGGAAGAAACCGGAGCUGAAGAAACUGGCGGUAAAGUGACCUUAGUAUCCGAAGAUUGGAGGCUCAGCCAAUUCUGGUAUGACCCUUUAACCGCAGAGAC